AUGCACGCUGGCGGCGUGCCUAAUACCUGCCAGUCGCGCGAACAGACGAGGAGCUUGCUCCUCUGACGUUAGCGGCGGACGGGUGAGUAACACGUGGAUAACCUACCUAUAGGACUGGGAUAACUUCGGGAAACCGGAGCUAAUACCGGAUAAUAUAUUUAACCGCAUGGUUCAAUAGUGAAAGACGGUUUUGCUGUCACUUAUAGAUGGAUCCGCGCCGCAUUAGCUAGUUGGUAAGGUAACGGCUUACCAAGGCAACGAUGCGUAGCCGACCUGAGAGGGUGAUCGGCCACACUGGAACUGAGACACGGUCCAGACUCCUACGGGAGGCAGCAGUAGGGAAUCUUCCGCAAUGGGCGAAAGCCUGACGGAGCAACGCCGCGUGAGUGAUGAAGGUCUUCGGAUCGUAAAACUCUGUUAUUAGGGAAGAACAAAUGUGUAAGUAACUAUGCACGUCUUGACGGUACCUAAUCAGAAAGCCACGGCUAACUACGUG
Molecule: ribosomal RNA, 496 nt
Filed under: uncultured bacterium
Lineage: Bacteria
Description: partial 16S ribosomal RNA
Rfam family: Bacterial small subunit ribosomal RNA
Source: RNAcentral